This is a small nucleolar RNA of Bison bison bison, 79 nucleotides long. The record is from Ensembl. Lineage: Eukaryota; Metazoa; Chordata; Mammalia; Artiodactyla; Bovidae.
GGUCGAUGAUGAGCUGGCAUGUAUUCUGAAUCUAAAGUUGAUUGUUACUACUUUAGCUCUAGAAUUACUCUGAGACCUG